CCUACGGGGGGCAGCAGUAAGGAAUAUUGGUCAAUGGACGGAAGUCUGAACCAGCCAUCCCGCGUGCAGGAAGAAGGUCCUAUGGAUUGUAAACUGCUUUUAGCAGAGACGAAACGCCUUCAUUUAUGGGGGUUUGACGGUAUCUGCGGAAUAAGCACCGGCUAACUCCGUGCCAGCAGCCGCGGUAAUACGGAGGGUGCAAGAGUUAUCCGGAAUCACUGGGGUGAAGGCGGGGGAUGAAGUGAGUGGUGAAAGUCUGUAGCUUAACUACCGAAUUGCCAUUGAUACUGAGUUUCUUGAAUUGGGUUGAGGUUAGCGGAAUGUGACAUGUAACGGUGAAAUGUUUAGAUAUGUCAUGGAACACCGAUUGCGAAGGCAGCUAGCUGGGCCUUGAUUGACGCUGAGGCACGAAAGCGUGGGUAGCGAACAGGAUUAGAUACCCUUGUAGUC
This 450-nucleotide ribosomal RNA is filed under the name uncultured bacterium. Its description in RNAcentral is "partial 16S ribosomal RNA". It matches the Rfam family "Bacterial small subunit ribosomal RNA", at positions 338 to 795 of the family's 1533-position model. The record is from RNAcentral.